RNAcentral lists this ribosomal RNA (497 nucleotides) under uncultured bacterium. RNAcentral describes it as "partial 16S ribosomal RNA". It matches the Rfam family "Bacterial small subunit ribosomal RNA", at positions 28 to 507 of the family's 1533-position model. The record is from RNAcentral.
GACGAACGCUGGCGGCGUGCCUAAUACAUGCAAGUUGAGCGCUGAAGGUUGGUACUUGUACCAACUGGAUGAGCAGCGAACGGGUGAGUAACGCGUGGGGAAUCUGCCUUUGAGCGGGGGACAACAUUUGGAAACGAAUGCUAAUACCGCAUAAAAACUUUAAACACAAGUUUUAAGUUUGAAAGAUGCAAUUGCAUCACUCAAAGAUGAUCCCGCGUUGUAUUGGCUAGUUGGUGAGGUAAAGGCUCACCAAGGCGAUGAUACAUAGCCGACCUGAGAGGGUGAUCGGCCACAUUGGGACUGAGACACGGCCCAAACUCCUACGGGAGGCAGCAGUAGGGAAUCUUCGGCAAUGGACGAAAGUCUGACCGAGCAACGCCGCGUGAGUGAAGAAGGUUUUCGGAUUGUAAAACUCUGUUGGUAGAGAAGAACGUUGGUGAGAGUGGAAAGCUCAUCAAGUGACGGUAACUACCCAGAAAGGGACGGCUAACUACGUG